RNAcentral lists this ribosomal RNA (435 nucleotides) under uncultured bacterium. Its description in RNAcentral is "bacterial SSU rRNA". It matches the Rfam family "Bacterial small subunit ribosomal RNA", at positions 958 to 1392 of the family's 1533-position model. The record is from RNAcentral.
AACGCGAAGAACCUUACCAGCCCUUGACAUGUCCAGGACCGGUCGCAGAGACGCGACCUUCUUUUCGGAGCUUGGAACACAGGUGCUGCAUGGCUGUCGUCAGCUCGUGUCGUGAGAUGUUGGGUUAAGUCCCGCAACGAGCGCAACCCUCGUCCUUAGUUGCCAUCAUUCAGUUGGGCACUCUAAGGAGACUGCCGGUGAUAAGCCGCGAGGAAGGUGGGGAUGACGUCAAGUCCUCAUGGCCCUUACGGGCUGGGCUACACACGUGCUACAAUGGCGGUGACAAUGGGCAGCGAACCCGCAAGGGGGAGCUAAUCUCAAAAAGCCGUCUCAGUUCGGAUUGCACUCUGCAACUCGAGUGCAUGAAGUUGGAAUCGCUAGUAAUCGUGGAUCAGCAUGCCACGGUGAAUACGUUCCCGGGUCUUGUACACACCG